Molecule: ribosomal RNA, 468 nt
Filed under: uncultured bacterium
Lineage: Bacteria
Description: partial 16S ribosomal RNA
Rfam family: Bacterial small subunit ribosomal RNA
Source: RNAcentral
GACGAACGCUGGCGGCGUGCUUAACACAUGCAAGUCGAACGGAAAGGCCCUGCUUUUGUGGGGUGCUCGAGUGGCGAACGGGUGAGUAACACGUGAGUAACCUGCCCUUGACUUUGGGAUAACUUCAGGAAACUGGGGCUAAUACCUGAUAGGAGCUCCUGCUGCAUGGUGGUGGUUGGAAAGUUUCGGCGGUUGGGGAUGGACUCGCGGCUUAUCAGCUUGUUGGUGGGGUAGUGGCUUACCAAGGCUUUGACGGGUAGCCGGCCUGAGAGGGUAACCGGCCACAUGGGGACUGAGAUACGGCCCAGACUCCUACGGGAGGCAGCAGUGGGGAAUAUUGCACAAUGGGCGGAAGCCUGAUUCAGCAACGCCGCGUGCGGGAUGAAGGCCUUCGGGUUGUAAACCGCUUUCGCCUGUGACGAAGCGUGAGUGACGGUAAUGGGUAAAGAAGCACCGGCUAACUACGUG